RNAcentral lists this ribosomal RNA (538 nucleotides) under Flavobacteriaceae bacterium VA6. Its description in RNAcentral is "bacterial SSU rRNA". It matches the Rfam family "Bacterial small subunit ribosomal RNA", at positions 38 to 581 of the family's 1533-position model. The record is from RNAcentral. Lineage: Bacteria; Pseudomonadati; Bacteroidota; Flavobacteriia; Flavobacteriales; Flavobacteriaceae.
UGCGGCGGCUUACACAUGCAAGUCGAGGGGUAUAGUUCUUCGGAGCUAGAGACCGGCGCACGGGUGCGUAACGCGUAUGCAAUCUGCCUUUCACAGAGGGAUAGCCCAGAGAAAUUUGGAUUAAUACCUCAUAGUAUUANNNNNCGGCAUCACUUUGUAAUUAAAGUCACAACGGUGAAAGAUGAGCAUGCGUCCCAUUAGCUAGUUGGUAAGGUAACGGCUUACCAAGGCAACGAUGGGUAGGGGUCCUGAGAGGGAGAUCCCCCACACUGGUACUGAGACACGGACCAGACUCCUACGGGAGGCAGCAGUGAGGAAUAUUGGUCAAUGGGCGCAAGCCUGAACCAGCCAUGCCGCGUGCAGGAUGACGGUCCUAUGGAUUGUAACUGCUUUUGUACGAGAAGAAACACUCCUAUGUAUAGGAGCUUGACGGUAUCGUAAGAAUAAGGAUCGGCUAACUCCGUGCCAGCAGCCGCGGUAAUACGGAGGAUCCAAGCGUUAUCCGGAAUCAUUGGNUUUAAAGGGUCCGUAGCGGUUU